RNAcentral lists this unclassified non-coding RNA (377 nucleotides) under plant metagenome. Its description in RNAcentral is "partial contains 5.8S ribosomal RNA, internal transcribed spacer 2, and large subunit ribosomal RNA". The stretch from base 1 to 104 matches the Rfam family "5.8S ribosomal RNA", at positions 51 to 154 of the family's 154-position model. The record is from RNAcentral.
AAAUGCGAUAAGUAAUGUGAAUUGCAGAAUUCAGUGAAUCAUCGAAUCUUUGAACGCACCUUGCGCUCCUUGGUAUUCCUUGGAGCAUGCCUGUUUGAGUAUCAUGAAAUCUUCAAAGUAAAUCUUUUGUUAACUCAAUUGGUUUCUACUUUGGUAUUGGAGGUCUUUGCAGCUUCACACCUGCUCCUCUUUGUUCAUUAGCUGGAUCUCAGUGUUAUGCUUGGUUCCACUCGGCGUGAUAAGUUAUCUAUCGCUGAGGACACUGUAAAAGGUGGCCAAGGUAAAUGCAGAUGAACCGCUUCUAAUAGUCCAUUGACUUUGACAAUACUUUUAUGAUCUGAUCUCAAAUCAGGUAGGACUACCCGCUGAACUUAAGC